Molecule: ribosomal RNA, 120 nt
Filed under: Castor canadensis (American beaver)
Lineage: Eukaryota; Metazoa; Chordata; Mammalia; Rodentia; Castoridae
Source: RNAcentral
GUCUAUGGCCAUACCACCUUGAAGGUACCCAAUCCCAUUUGAUCUCAUAAGCUAAGCAUGGUUGGGCCUGGUUAGUACUUGGAUGGGAAACAGAUCUUCAGAAGAGACUGCUCAGAGACA